GUAGAAGCAGCGCGCGGUUUCCAUGGCGACAGUAGGAAGCCCGGGAGGUUUGCGGGCUGUGCAGCCCCCGCGGCCCUUUGUGCCCAAUGCGGCGCGGAAUCCGUGAACGGUCCGCGGCGCCGAGGGUGCAGCUCCUGCCUGGCGCGCUGUCCUGCCCCAUGGACGCCUCCUCUAGCCCUUGGAAUCCCACCCCGGCUCCCGUCAGCAGUCCUUCCCUGCUGCUCCCCAUUCCCGCCAUCGUCUUCAUCGCUGUGGGCAUCUAUUUGUUGCUGCUAGGCCUAGUGCUGCUGACGAGGCACUGCCUGCUGGCCCAAGGCUGCUGCACGGAUUGCAGCUCCCCCUGCAGGAAGCAAGGCGCCUCCAGGCCCCAGGACUGUUGCUGGACCUGUGCAGAAGCCUGCGACUUCCCUCUGCCCAGCCCAGCUCACUACCUGGAUGCCUGCUGCCCCCAGCCCACUGAAGCUGGCUGGGCCCCGCGCUGCCCUCGCUGCUGCCCGCUCUGCGACUGUGCCUGUGCGUGCCAGCUGCCUGACUGCCAGAGCCUCAACUGCCUCUGCUUCGAGAUCAAGCUCCGAUGAGGACCCAAGUCCCUGCCCUCGGGGGAGUGGGCAGCCCCCAGGCCCUCUUCCCUGAGGGGCCUCCGGCCACUGGGACCACGGAUCCCCGCCCAGAGAUUUCUUUCCCUUUUGAAGGCCUGAGACUGGAUUUCCAAGGAAGAAAUUCCCUCUGAGUUACGGG
Molecule: RNA transcript, 738 nt
Organism: Myotis daubentonii (Daubenton's bat)
Lineage: Eukaryota; Metazoa; Chordata; Mammalia; Chiroptera; Vespertilionidae
Gene name: keratin-associated protein 10-10
Exons: 6
Source: RefSeq, a predicted model, not a curated record